This 389-nucleotide ribosomal RNA is filed under the name uncultured Chrysophyceae. Its description in RNAcentral is "partial small subunit ribosomal RNA". It matches the Rfam family "Eukaryotic small subunit ribosomal RNA", at positions 30 to 431 of the family's 1831-position model. The record is from RNAcentral. Lineage: Eukaryota; Chrysophyceae.
GCUUGUCUCAAAGAUUAAGCCAUGCAUGUCUAAGUAUAAACAAAUCUAUACGUGAAACUGCGAAUGGCUCAUUAUAUCAGUUAUAGUUUAUUUGAUGGUCCUUACUACUUGGAUAACCGUAGUAAUUCUAGAGCUAAUACAUGACUCAAAGACCGACUUACGAAGGUCUGUGUUUAUUAGAUGGAAACCAAAGCGGGGAAACCCGGAUUUAUGGUGAUUCAUAAUAACCCUCCGAUCGGCUAUGCCGACGCAUCAUUCAAGUUUCUGCCCUAUCAGCUUUGGACGGUAGGGUAUUGGCCUACCGUGGCUUUAACGGGUAACGGAGAAUUAGGGUUCGAUUCCGGAGAGGGAGCCUGAGAAACGGCUACCACAUCCAAGGAAGGCAGCAG